This 497-nucleotide ribosomal RNA is filed under the name uncultured bacterium. RNAcentral describes it as "partial 16S ribosomal RNA". It matches the Rfam family "Bacterial small subunit ribosomal RNA", at positions 28 to 507 of the family's 1533-position model. The record is from RNAcentral.
GAUGAACGCUGGCGGCGUGCCUAAUACAUGCAAGUCGAGCGAACAGACGAGGAGCUUGCUCCUCUGACGUUAGCGGCGGACGGGUGAGUAACACGUGGAUAACCUACCUAUAAGACUGGGAUAACUUCGGGAAACCGGAGCUAAUACCGGAUAAUAUAUUGAACCGCAUGGUUCAAUAGUGAAAGACGGUUUUGCUGUCACUUAUAGAUGGAUCCGCGCCGCAUUAGCUAGUUGGUAAGGUAACGGCUUACCAAGGCAACGAUGCGUAGCCGACCUGAGAGGGAGAUGGGCCAGACGGGAAGUGAGACACGGUCCAGACUACUACGGGAGGCAGCAAUAGGGAAUCGUCCGCAAUGGGCGAAAGCCUGACGGAGCAACGUCGCGUGAGUGAUGAAGGUCUUCGGAUCGUAAAACUCUGUUAUUAGGGAAGAACAAAUGUGUAAGUAACAAUGCACGUCUUGACGGUACCUAAUCAGAAAGCCACGGCUAACUACGUG